AACAAUCAACACUUUGGAGGUCAGAUUUACGUCCCCUGCCUUUCAUUCAAAUUUGCUUAAUUCUAUAUAUCGAGUAGGGGUCGAUGUUAUCGAUCAACAUAAUGGAAACAGCUGAGGACGGAGAAACGGCAAAGACCAGCAAUAAGCCUCCACCAGCCGCUCAUUCGCCGCCAUCUGAAGAACUAUCUUCUUCAACAUCCUGGCUGGGCAAAACACCACCCGCCAGUGCACCACCUGGCGCGACGCCAUGCAGAACCCUCUUUUCUUGUUUCCCAGCCGUACCGUGCUGCCCUUCCUCCUCCUCUUACGGUGGCGCGUCCGGCACCACCCCAGGACCACGGCGAUGUUAGAAAAGAGAGAGAUAGUGAUGCCUCUCUUAAGCAUUUGCUUAG
RNAcentral lists this long non-coding RNA (392 nucleotides) under Olea europaea (common olive). RNAcentral's name for it is "long non-coding RNA (OEUR_LNC007752)". The record is from RNAcentral. Lineage: Eukaryota; Viridiplantae; Streptophyta; Magnoliopsida; Lamiales; Oleaceae.